RNAcentral lists this ribosomal RNA (433 nucleotides) under uncultured bacterium. RNAcentral describes it as "partial 16S ribosomal RNA". It matches the Rfam family "Bacterial small subunit ribosomal RNA", at positions 28 to 507 of the family's 1533-position model. The record is from RNAcentral.
AGCGAACGCUGGCGGCAGGCUUAACACAUGCAAGUCGAGCGGGCCCUUCGGGGUCAGCGGCGGACGGGUGAGUAACGCGUGGGAACGUGCCUUCUGGUUCGGAAUAGCUCCGGGAAACGUGAGCUAAUACCGGAUGCGCCCUUUGGGGGAAAGGUUUACUGCCGGUAGAUCGGCCCGCGUCUGAUUAGCUAGUUGGUGGGGUAACGGCCUACCAAGGCGACGAUCAGUAGCUGGUCUGAGAGGAUGACCAGCCACACUGGGACUGAGACACGGCCCAGACUCCUACGGGAGGCAGCAGUGGGGAAUAUUGGACAAUGGGCGCAAGCCUGACCCAGCCAUGCCGCGUGAGUGAUGAAGGCCUUAGGGUUGUAAAGCUCUUUUAUCCGGGACGAUAAUGACGGUACCGGAGGAAGAAGCCCCGGCUAACUUCGUG